AUGUGCAUGCAGACAUCUGUCUCAGAUUAGAAUCUGAUCUAUGAGCAGACACAUGAGAAUAGACAUUUAUCCCGAGAACGGGAAGCUGGUGCGAAUAGGAGAAGAUUUCAGGCUCUGUGUGGGACAGGAAAGAACCAGCCCUCGGGAAACUUCCUCCAGAAAGGGCAUUUGCCAGUGCAGCCUUGCUGGGUUCCCUCUGUCUUCCCCAGCUUUCCUGCCCUGGGGCUCCAUGGACUCCUGGAGGCUUGUGCGCAGCCCCCCAGGAAGACAGGGUAAUGGAAUCCUUCUGCAGAGUUGAGAAGACUCCUAGAAUGGAUUAGGAAUUCUAUAGGGAGAAUGAAGCCUGGCUGGAGAAAGCGAGUUGCCCACAUGGACAAGGGCACAUCAGGAGUGGACCCAGGGUCAGGAGAAAGUGACUUGACAUCUUGAGCUCGGAUCUUU
This is a long non-coding RNA of Mustela erminea (ermine), 441 nucleotides long. RefSeq lists it as uncharacterized. Lineage: Eukaryota; Metazoa; Chordata; Mammalia; Carnivora; Mustelidae. The transcript is spliced from 3 exons. The record is from RefSeq and is a predicted model, not a curated record.